This is a non-coding RNA of Camellia sinensis, 1042 nucleotides long. NCBI's taxonomy places the organism in Eukaryota, Viridiplantae, Streptophyta, Magnoliopsida, Ericales, Theaceae. The record is from RefSeq and is a predicted model, not a curated record.
UGUUACAUUUUAUUCUCUUUGUUGAUUUGAAGAGGCAGAAGCAAAACUUGCUUGCAAAACCCUAAAGGGACACUUCGAUUUGGUUCAUUCUAGAGACGGUUUGAAGUUGAGAAGAAAGGGAAAAGAGAGAGGGUUCGAAGAUAGAUUUUGGGCACUUCGAUCUGGUUCAUUCUAGAGACACUGUCCUCAUUCUUUCGGCAGGAGCAAACUCUCUUUCUCUCUUUCUCUCUCUCUGUCUCUCUCUCAUUGCGAUCAAAUGUAAAGCUUCAAUACAUCUUUCAUUAGAUUGGAGUUUAUCAAAAAAAAAAAAUAUUUGUGUUUCUCCACAUAGUUUACUUCAGAUUCUUUGAGGGUUUUGCUUGAAUGAUUCAUACACUUCAUUUUCUCUCUAGAAUAAGGCAUUCUCAUUCUCUGUUUGAUUUCUUUUCUUUUACGGUUCGAGCAUUUUGAUUUCUUUGUGAAUGAAGGAACAAUAGAGAGAAGUACACCAAUGAGGAAGUCUCACACAUCCACCACAGAUCUACUCACCUGGUCUGAAAUUCCUGUCUCCUAUUCCCCCUCAAUCACCUCUGCUGCUCAUUCUCACCAGGGAAAGUGUUAGCCAUCGGAUGGGAUCAGUAAGGUGGUGUUUGUAGGUCAGGUUACAGAUGAAGAAGUUGAGAAUUUGAACAAAAGGUGAGAGAUCCAACCAAAUUUAUGUGAAUAGUACUUUUAAGUUCUUUCCCUCAUGAUUGCAAUAAAAAAGUUCAUUGGUCAAUUCUCUCGGAAUGGGCUUAGUUAAAAUUGUUGGGAUGAGAAAGUUAUUGUGAAAACAGAAGCUUGAACAUCUUAAUGUUAUUCUUGUUCCUUAUGUGAUUGAGCCAAACAUAAUGUAAUGUUAAUCUUGUUCUUUAUUAACAGUGUUCUAUGUUUUUAGGAAUUACUAUGUUGGGAUUGAGUCUUGGUGGAGUUUAAUUGUGUGCUGUUGUGGGAUUGGGUCUUCGUAGUUUAGCUAGCUAUCAACAUGUUCUUUUUGUGUUGAUUCAACGAUUUAAUUUUUUUA